This 232-nucleotide unclassified non-coding RNA is filed under the name Glomeraceae sp. RNAcentral describes it as "partial contains 5.8S ribosomal RNA and internal transcribed spacer 2". The stretch from base 1 to 71 matches the Rfam family "5.8S ribosomal RNA", at positions 84 to 154 of the family's 154-position model. Lineage: Eukaryota; Fungi; Glomeromycota; Glomeromycetes; Glomerales; Glomeraceae. The record is from RNAcentral.
GUGAAUCAUCAAAUUUUUGAACGCAAAUUGCACUCUCUGGUAUUCCGGGGAGUAUUCCUGUUUGAGGGUCAGUUUAAAUAAACAUCGGUGUGGUUGCUGCCUUUCGUGGUGACGCACCGGAUGUGGGUUGUCUUGCCUUGGGUUAAGUGACCUAAAAUCUUGCAUGCUUUUUUCGGACGUAUUUAAAUGAUUUUACGUACGUUUGCGAUAUCGAAUAUUUGGUUCGGACAUC